GACGUAGGGCGCGAGCGUUGUCCGGAUUUAUUGGGCGUAAAGAGCUCGUAGGCGGCUUGUCGCGUCGUCCGUGAAAACCCACAGCUCAACUGUGGGCUUGCGGUCGAUACGGGCAGGCUAGAGUUCGGUAGGGGAGACUGGAAUUCCUGGUGUAGCGGUGAAAUGCGCAGAUAUCAGGAGGAACACCGGUGGCGAAGGCGGGUCUCUGGGCCGAUACUGACGCUGAGGAGCGAAAGCGUAGGGAGCGAACAGG
This 253-nucleotide ribosomal RNA is filed under the name uncultured bacterium. RNAcentral describes it as "partial 16S ribosomal RNA". It matches the Rfam family "Bacterial small subunit ribosomal RNA", at positions 524 to 776 of the family's 1533-position model. The record is from RNAcentral.